This is a long non-coding RNA of Haliotis rufescens (red abalone), 303 nucleotides long. RefSeq lists it as uncharacterized. The transcript has 3 exons. The record is from RefSeq and is a predicted model, not a curated record. NCBI's taxonomy places the organism in Eukaryota, Metazoa, Mollusca, Gastropoda, Lepetellida, Haliotidae.
UAUGGUCAUUCAUACGUUGAUAUUUCUGGGGCAUCCCGUUGCCCGAAACCAGUAUACGUGACAGGAUGCUGUUUUCAUGUAUAUUACAUUGACCUUUGGGCGUUAUUUCAUGGAUAUACUGACCUAUACAAGCAGCAAGGGCAACAUCCGGCAGUGGUGUGUAUGAAUUCACAUUCUUUAAGGAAGAAUGCCACACAUCAUGGACGCUAUGAAAUCCAGGCAUUCGGGUCACUGAGGACGCGGACGAACCUGAAAUAGACUUACUCCAUGUAUCGAAAUGAUGAAAUUCAAUACACUGCCAAA